UCGACCCCUAAGGCGAGGCCGAAAGGCGUAGUCGAUGGGAAACAGGUUAAUAUUCCUGUACUUGGUGUUACUGCGAAGGGGGGACGGAGAAGGCUAUGUUAGCCGGGCGACGGUUGUCCCGGUUUAAGCAUGUAGGCUGGUUAUCCAGGCAAAUCCGGAUAACCAAGGCUGAGGUGUGAUGACGAGGCACUACGGUGCUGAAGUAACAAAUGCCCUGCUUCCAGGAAAAGCCUCUAAGCAUCAGGUAACAUCAAAUCGUACCCCAAACCGACACAGGUGGUCAGGUAGAGAAUACCAAGGCGCUUGAGAGAACUCGGGUGAAGGA
Molecule: ribosomal RNA, 325 nt
Filed under: Klebsiella pneumoniae
Lineage: Bacteria; Pseudomonadati; Pseudomonadota; Gammaproteobacteria; Enterobacterales; Enterobacteriaceae
Description: bacterial LSU rRNA
Rfam family: Bacterial large subunit ribosomal RNA
Source: RNAcentral